RNAcentral lists this ribosomal RNA (253 nucleotides) under uncultured bacterium. RNAcentral describes it as "partial 16S ribosomal RNA". It matches the Rfam family "Bacterial small subunit ribosomal RNA", at positions 524 to 776 of the family's 1533-position model. The record is from RNAcentral.
UACGGGGGGUGCAAGCGUUGUUCGGAAUUACUGGGCGUAAAGGGCGCGUAGGCGGGUGGACAAGUCUCUCGUGAAAGCCCACGGCUCAACCGUGGAAUUGCGGGAGAUACUGUCUGUCUUGAGUCCGGGAGAGGAGGGUGGAAUUCCCAGUGUAGCGGUGAAAUGCGUAGAUAUUGGGGGGAACACCGGUGGCGAAGGCGGCUCUCUGGACCUGUACUGACGCUGAGGCGCGAAAGCUAGGGGAGCAAACGGG